GGCCCUAUCGUCUAAUGGUUAGGACAGGUGGUUCUCAUCCACCAAAUCGGGGUCCGAUUCCCCGUGGGGCUGCCA
This 75-nucleotide transfer RNA is filed under the name Candidatus Doudnabacteria bacterium RIFCSPHIGHO2_01_43_10. RNAcentral describes it as "tRNA-Glu". It matches the Rfam family "tRNA". Rfam says of the family: Transfer RNA (tRNA) molecules are approximately 80 nucleotides in length. Their secondary structure includes four short double-helical elements and three loops (D, anti-codon, and T loops). Lineage: Bacteria; Candidatus Doudnaibacteriota. RNAcentral also lists the same sequence under 7 other names. The record is from RNAcentral.